CAACGCCGUGCAACGCACCUG
This 21-nucleotide microRNA is filed under the name Gallus gallus (chicken). RNAcentral describes it as "gga-miR-6579-5p". The record is from miRBase by way of RNAcentral. Lineage: Eukaryota; Metazoa; Chordata; Aves; Galliformes; Phasianidae.